UGAGGAAUAUUGGUCAAUGGACGGAAGUCUGAACCAGCCAUGCCGCGUGAAGGAUGAAGGCGUUCUGCGUUGUAAACUUCUUUUAUCUGGGAAGAAACCACAGAUUUCUAUUUGUGUUGACGGUACCAGAAGAAUAAGCACCGGCUAACUCCGUGCCAGCAGCCGCGGUAAUACGGAGGGUGCGAGCGUUAUCCGGAUUUACUGGGUUUAAAGGGUGCGUAGGCGGGCUAUUAAGUCAGAGGUGAAAUCUCCGGGCUCAACCUGGAAACUGCCUCUGAUACUAUUAGCCUUGAAUUAUGUUGAGGUUGGCGGAAUAUAACAUGUAGCGGUGAAAUGCUUAGAUAUGUUAUGGAACACCAAUUGCGAAGGCAGCUGGCUAAACAUAUAUUGACGCUGAUGCACGAAAGCGUGGGUAGCGAACA
RNAcentral lists this ribosomal RNA (422 nucleotides) under uncultured bacterium. RNAcentral describes it as "bacterial SSU rRNA". It matches the Rfam family "Bacterial small subunit ribosomal RNA", at positions 355 to 774 of the family's 1533-position model. The record is from RNAcentral.